GACGAACGCGGCGGCGUGCCUAAUACAUGCAAGUCGAACGAGAGCGACCGGUGCUUGCACUGGUCAAUCUAGUGGCGAACGGGUGAGUAACACGUGGGUAACCUGCCCAUCAGAGGGGGAUAACAUUCGGAAACGGAUGCUAAACCGCAUAGGUUCUACAGUCGCAUGACUGGAGAAGGAAAAGAGGCUUCGGCUUCUGCUGAUGGAUGGACCCGCGGUGCAUUAGCUAGUUGGUGAGGUAACGGCUCACCAAGGCCGUGAUGCAUAGCCGACCUGAGAGGGUGAUCGGCCACAUUGGGACUGAGACACGGCCCAAACUCCUACGGGAGGCAGCAGUAGGGAAUCUUCCGCAAUGGACGCAAGUCUGACGGAGCAACGCCGCGUGAGUGAAGAAGGAUUUCGGUUGUAAAACUCUGUUGUUAGAGAAGAACAGCGCAUAGAGUAACUGUUA
RNAcentral lists this ribosomal RNA (451 nucleotides) under Granulicatella elegans. RNAcentral describes it as "bacterial SSU rRNA". It matches the Rfam family "Bacterial small subunit ribosomal RNA", at positions 28 to 470 of the family's 1533-position model. Lineage: Bacteria; Bacillati; Bacillota; Bacilli; Lactobacillales; Carnobacteriaceae. The record is from RNAcentral.